AGGGCGAGCACUCGGCUCCCUUCAGUUCAGCACAGAGGAGCAGACCUGCUGCUGAGCUGCCGUGCAGCACGAGCUGGGGGAGCGGGAAAUCAUGACCCACAGGCUUGUCUUCAGAGAGCCUGUUGAGGGUGGCAUGUGAUGGGCACCUGAGCACCCAGAUACAGUUGAGGUGCAUAAAGAGAAGGAGUAUGAUGUGCAAGGCACACACCUGUACUCAGCUGAGUGCCACAAUACACAGAAGCCCGAAAUAGCUGUCGGAAGCCGGUGGCGGCUGCACUGCUGCUCCUAAUAUACACUUCCUUGCACCUGUGUCCUGAGCCCUUUGCCGAGUGACUUGGCUGUGCCCCUGGUGAGAAGAGGUGAACAUUCCCCUUCAUCCCAUUCACCGACCUGCACGUGGCCGUGUGGCCUACUCUGGACUACAGCAGACACUGGGAGAGCCUACAGAUGGGCUUGCAGUUUGCUGGCAUCCUGCACUUUUGUCCUCUGCCAUAAGCAGAACCGAUCCAGGUGGGCACUUGUCCCACAGUGAGGAGACACCUGCAGGGCUCUAACCCAUGUCCAGAGCAGAGCCCGGCCCACCCUUGUGCAAAGCCACCAACAUUAUCACGGCAAGAGUGCAUGCAGCCUCUAACUCCCCCUCCAAAAUCUCUUCCACCCUUUCUGUUUCCUUAUCAUAUCACAGCCCACACCAAAAAUUAUCACUAGCUGGCAUAUAAGAACUAAAACAUAGGUCAUAUUUUCUACGUUUAGUCAAAAAACUUGCCUACGACGUGUAUUGUUUCAAAGGCUGACAGUUUCUCUCCAGUCAUGGUUUUUUGGCAAUAUGAGCAAUGGAUGUCUGGGAUGAAAACUCUGCCAUAUAGAAUGUAGCCUACAGAGCACGUAUUCAGAUUUAUGCCCUCUAAAUGGAUUACUACAUUCUGAAUGGCAUUAACUUUCCAAUGAGUAAGAGCCACUCAUUCACCUCUCUCCUCUAUUCCCAGUCCUUGAAAUAGUUGAUUUCAAAUGUUUUCACCUAAGGUAAAUGAUAAUAUAUGCAAAGAUUUUGUACAAACUCCAGGGGAAUUCCUGAGAUAUCUCACAAAGUUUGAAUCUAUGGAGACAAAGGAAAAUUGUGCAACGAGUGGUGUUUUCUUUCACAUAGUGCAGCAGACAGGAUCACAUGCCUCCAACGUGGGAAGGGGAACACGUCGACCCUAGGCAAGCAGAGGGCCUUAGCAUGCUGACUCUGCAGGCUCAUCCUGGGGCCUGCCUGAGCAGCCGUGUGGGCACCGGGACUGCAGUCCUUUCCCCUGCCUGCCCCAGCCCCACCAUCUCUUGCCUGGAGGUCAUUUGGCCACCCUCUUAGUGUCAAAGGCAGAAGCUAUGAGAAAGAAGGAUAGGAGAGGGAUGCGGACCAGUUUUCAAAUCCGGCAGGAGGAGCAAGGUCCUGGGGAGCAUGUGGUGGAAGGUGAGCAUCCCGACCUAGGAAGGCAUUUCCGAAUGCAGGGAACACAGUCACACCAAAGCGUAUGUCCAUAACCAUCGUGGAAACUAACUAGGCCUUCUGACGAGAAAUACAGAAGGGAGAGCCCAUGCACACUAAACUACCACAAUAUUUGAGCAACAGAGCGAGAAAGAAGCCAGCACCAUAAUUUAAGAAGCUUAAUAUGGUGCUUGACUAUUUGGGGUGAAUAAUUACUCAAUAUUUUAAAAUUUUCUUUGUAUAUUUUAAUUUAUUACCUUUCUUCCAGAAGUCACACUCACCAAAAUCUAUUCUUUUGCAAUUAUACCAAUGAAAUUAGAGAUAUGGCCUCUGACCCUUUCCCACUUUUGAGUCUAGGACUUUAAGGAAACUACAUCAUCAUUACGAAGACUGGGGAGCAACAGCGUCAUGGGCACCGCUCUGCUCUGCAUGAAGGAGUCCGACAGCUGCCAGCGGGGAGCUUUGGUGGUGCCAAAUCCCCUGGAGAGAGGAGGCUGCAGCCCCAGGCAGCAGGGAGCCCUGGAGGAAGCUGCCUCUGCAGACUCGCGGGAAUGCCAGCUCCGGGUUUCAUUCCUUUGUUCACUGCUGCUUCCCAAGUGCCAGACGGAGCCUGGAACUCAGUGGCUGCUCUAAAGAUACUGUUGAAUGAGUAAAUGAACGGAAUUGCACAGGAGCGAGGCCACAGUUCUACAGCUGAGCUGCCUGUCACGGCCCUCACCCAACCACCACUGCUGGAAAUGUGCAGACAGGGUGUGCCUCUCCCGUUUAAGGGAAAUGUAUUGAGAUAUCAUUCACAUACAUGGCACGUGCUCAGGGAGCCCCCCAGGAUGACAGAGCUCACCCAUCACCCCACAGAACGUCUCUGCCCCAUCCAGGCAGGCCCCAGAGUACACUGGGUCUGGCUUCUUUAGUCAGAGGUGGUUUGAGUGAGUCUAGAGACUUCAUAGAAUCUGGGUCACAGAGCAGGCACCCUUUUCCAUCUGGUGUCUUCCACUCAGCGUAGCGGUCCCGAGAUCCAGCGUGUCUCUGCUAGGAUCAGCGGUUUGCUCCUUGGUGUUGCUGAGGAAAAUUCUACUGCAUGGAACACCACCAUCUAUCCACACUGGAUAGACACCAGAUGAGUGCUUCCGCCUGCUGUGAAUGAAGCUCCUAUGAACAGUCUCAUAUUAGGUAUGAAAGGAAAAUAAAUCAAUCACUAAACAAAGGGGAAAGUCAAGCUGGGAGCUGCCUCCCAUCCUAUUCCUAAAUAAGAUAGCUACAAAGAUAAAAACGCUGUUCCUCCCUCACAAUUUGCUCACAAGGAACUUCCUUGUGGAACAAGGACAGACAGAACUCAAUCAUCCCUCCGCUCACAUGAGACAAACACAGAUCGGAAUGCUUCCUCCGCCCUGUUGUUUCACCCAGCCAGACUAAGGCAUACGUAACUAUUCCAGUAAAUUGUGCAUUCGGUGAAAGGCUAAUCAGAAACUUAAAAGAAUGCAGCCAUUUGUCUCUUAUCUACCUACAACCUGGAAGCCCCCUGCGCGCUUUGACUUGUCCUGUCUUUCCAGAUAGAACCAAUGUACAUCAUACAUAUAAUGAUUGAUGUCUCAUGUCUCCCUAAAAUGUAUAAAACCAAGCUGUUCCCCGACCACCAUCACCAGGACCUCCUGAGGCUGUGUCACGGCACGUCCUCAACCUUGGCAAAAUAACUUUCUAAAUUUAUUGAGACUUGUCUCAGAUACUUUUUGGUUUACAAAGGUGUUUGUGGACAUGUAUAUUCAUUUCUCAUAGAUAAGUACCUAGAAGUUGAAUUGCUUAGACAUGAGUAAAUGUAUGUUUAACUUUUUCAGAAACUCCCGAACAUAUUUCCAAACUAUACCGUUUUACACUCUGUCAGCAGAAUUUAAAAGUUUCCACUGAACCACAUCCUUGUCAACGUUUGGUAUUGUCAAUAUGUUUAAGUUAUUGAUAUUGUUCUAGUGAAUGUGUAGAGACAUCUCGUUUUGGUUUUAAUUUGCAUUUUCCUAAUGAGGAAUAAUACUGAGAAAUUUUUUCUUUCAUAUUGUCAUAUAUGUGUCUUCUUUCUUAAAGUGCCUAGUCAAAUAUUUUGCUCAUUUUUUAUUGCUUUUUAUUAUAAACUGUGUUUUUUUAAAUAUUAUCUUAACACACGUCUUUUGGCUGAUAUAAUAUUGUAAAUAUUUUCUCCCAUUCUGUGGUCUACUUAUUGUUUCCUAAUGCUGUCUUUUGAAGAGCAAAAUAUUUUUCUCCAUUUAUGGAGACAAGAUGGUCAACUUAGCUAUUCCAAAAUGUUUUUAAAAUUCUAGUUUGUUUUAAAACAACCACAGCAAACUGCAUGGAUUUGUUCCACAUCUUUGAAAGAAAAACAUUAUUUUAUUUAUUUCACAGUGGAAGAUAAGUCAGUAAGGCCCCACUUCGGCAGGUUUUGUUUUCGUUUCCUCAUGCCUCUGCAAUGCUCGGAGUCACCCACGCCUUACUCACUGCGGCUGGAACGAACCCAGACUCCUCACUCCUCCCACAGCCUCUGGCGCAGGGCGCUCCUUGCUUGAAAGAAACGUUUGCGAUUUUUAGUGGAAACGUCCGUGUUUUCUUGGUAACUGGUAAAUGGCUGUAGAUUACUGACACGCGGUCCUUUGUACGUAACAGAAGGCUUUGAGUGUUUCUGUGAGGAUCACCCUGUGAAGAAACGGCUGCAGUGAGAGCAGCCGAGGCGGGACGCAGCCCCGGACGUGGGGUCAGAGAGGAGCCCUUGCUUUGUUAUCCGGAGGGUAGCCACGGUUUUAGCUCACAGUGAUGUCAACUUGAAGCUUCUCUCCACAAGCAGCUGUGACCUCAGCUGCCGUGCAGUCAGCUUCCCCGGCCUCCCUCCCCAGCCUCCCUGGUCUCCCAGGCACAAGGCUGGGCACUGGCUUCAGAGUGGCUGCAAGGGCACGGCCCCCAGGCCUAGGGCUGAUCAGCGUGAACAGUACCCAGCACACUUGCUUCAAAAAGUAAGAAGAUAUAGAACACAAGCUGCUUGUUCUCAUGACUAUAGCACAAACUAUAAAACAAAACAUCUUCCUCCAGAACACGGCAAGCUGGAUGGACAGUGAUCUGGACAAAAAUUUGCUGUAGGUUUUGUAACUGGGGUUCAGUGAGGACCAGGCUCCCCAGAGCAUACAUGUGGAGACAAUUAAGUUGAUCCCAUUUUCCAAGACUCAGAGGAGAUGUAUUUAUAUUAGGAAUAUAAACUUGCUAUUAAUGCAACUUCAGAAUGUCCAGGUCAUCCGUUGGGAAAAAAAAAAGAGUAAGUCUAGGGCUGGUUCGUGCUGUUGCUACAUGGAGGGAAUCCACAUCCAAGCCUGCCGCUCACAUGCUGGGACACAUUGCCUCAGCCUCCAUCUCUGGGAGUCCCACGCUUUCUCUCCUGGGUUGUCCCACUAUUCCUUUUGAAGUCCUCAUGUUAGUGACAGUUCAAUUUUCUCUUCACCUUCAAAAUUGCAGAGAACCUAAUUUCUACUGACCAGUCAAGCUUGUUUCAUUUAUCUUCCAUGUUAACUUCAAUUAAAAUGUUAACCAUCUGGAAUCUUUGGCCUCUUAUGUGACAAAAAUAGGCAUUAAAUUGUAUCAUUUCUUAAAUUCUCUGUUGAAAAGUCCAAAUACGUUACUGAAUAUGAUACAGAUUAGUAAGAAUUUGGGCUCAUUAAAUGUAAGAUAAUUUCAUAGCUUAAGGUAAUUUCACACCCCAAGGGACUUAUAACCUAAACACAAAGCAGAUCACCAACAUUAACUGUCAGCUGUCCACUGGAGAACUAUCUCAGACAAAAAAAUAAAAUUUGGAUUAGCUCUCCAUGGUGCACAAUACUUUCAUGAACCAUCUCUUUUGGGUUGGCAGCUGCAGUGUGUUCUGAGAGUAUGUUAAUGCUACAAUAACAGUAAAAAUAAAAUUAAGUUGGGAACAUACAGAAAAAAAGAAAUUGAUUACAUUAUUCCUAAUGACGACCUGAAUCAAAGUUGGCACUAAAUAAAUUUUUGUCAGAAAGGAGAAAAGAAAUGAGAGAAAUAAAAGAGAGGAGGCAGGAUUUUAUAUUCUGCUCCCUUUUUGGAAAA
This 5557-nucleotide long non-coding RNA is filed under the name Homo sapiens (human). RNAcentral describes it as "HSALNT0117174". The record is from RNAcentral. Lineage: Eukaryota; Metazoa; Chordata; Mammalia; Primates; Hominidae.